Molecule: ribosomal RNA, 1222 nt
Filed under: human gut metagenome
Description: bacterial LSU rRNA
Rfam family: Bacterial large subunit ribosomal RNA
Source: RNAcentral
GUUGAAAAAUUAGCGGAUGACUUGUGGCUGGGGGUGAAAGGCCAAUCAAACCGGGAGAUAGCUGGUUCUCCCCGAAAGCUAUUUAGGUAGCGCCUCGUGAAUUCAUCUCCGGGGGUAGAGCACUGUUUCGGCAAGGGGGUCAUCCCGACUUACCAACCCGAUGCAAACUGCGAAUACCGGAGAAUGUUAUCACGGGAGACACACGGCGGGUGCUAACGUCCGUCGUGAAGAGGGAAACAACCCAGACCGCCAGCUAAGGUCCCAAAGUCAUGGUUAAGUGGGAAACGAUGUGGGAAGGCCCAGACAGCCAGGAUGUUGGCUUAGAAGCAGCCAUCAUUUAAAGAAAGCGUAAUAGCUCACUGGUCGAGUCGGCCUGCGCGGAAGAUGUAACGGGGCUAAACCAUGCACCGAAGCUGCGGCAGCGACGCUUAUGCGUUGUUGGGUAGGGGAGCGUUCUGUAAGCCUGCGAAGGUGUGCUGUGAGGCAUGCUGGAGGUAUCAGAAGUGCGAAUGCUGACAUAAGUAACGAUAAAGCGGGUGAAAAGCCCGCUCGCCGGAAGACCAAGGGUUCCUGUCCAACGUUAAUCGGGGCAGGGUGAGUCGACCCCUAAGGCGAGGCCGAAAGGCGUAGUCGAUGGGAAACAGGUUAAUAUUCCUGUACUUGGUGUUACUGCGAAGGGGGGACGGAGAAGGCUAUGUUGGCCGGGCGACGGUUGUCCCGGUUUAAGCGUGUAGGCUGGUUUUCCAGGCAAAUCCGGAAAAUCAAGGCUGAGGCGUGAUGACGAGGCACUACGGUGCUGAAGCAACAAAUGCCCUGCUUCCAGGAAAAGCCUCUAAGCAUCAGGUAACAUCAAAUCGUACCCCAAACCGACACAGGUGGUCAGGUAGAGAAUACCAAGGCGCUUGAGAGAACUCGGGUGAAGGAACUAGGCAAAAUGGUGCCGUAACUUCGGGAGAAGGCACGCUGAUAUGUAGGUGAAGUCCCUCGCGGAUGGAGCUGAAAUCAGUCGAAGAUACCAGCUGGCUGCAACUGUUUAUUAAAAACACAGCACUGUGCAAACACGAAAGUGGACGUAUACGGUGUGACGCCUGCCCGGUGCCGGAAGGUUAAUUGAUGGGGUUAGCGGUAACGCGAAGCUCUUGAUCGAAGCCCCGGUAAACGGCGGCCGUAACUAUAACGGUCCUAAGGUAGCGAAAUUCCUUGUCGGGUAAGUUCCGACCUG